This 468-nucleotide ribosomal RNA is filed under the name uncultured bacterium. RNAcentral's name for it is "partial 16S ribosomal RNA". It matches the Rfam family "Bacterial small subunit ribosomal RNA", at positions 28 to 507 of the family's 1533-position model. The record is from RNAcentral.
GACGAACGCUGGCGGCGUGCCUAACACAUGCAAGUCGAACGGACAGGUCCUGCUCUUGCUGCGUUCUCGUGUGGCGAACGGGUGAGUAUCACGUGAGUGACCUGUCCCUGACUUUGGGAUAACAUCAGGAGACUCGGGCUCAUAUCGGAUAGGAGCUUCCGCUGCAUGGUGGGGGUUGGAAAGUUUUGGCGGUUGGGGAUCGACUAGCGGGUUAUCCGCUUGUUUGUGGGGUAGUGGCUUACCAGGGCUUUGAAGGGUAGCCGGCCUGGGAGGGGUGCCGGCGACAAGGCGACUGCGGGACGGCCCAGACGCGUACGGGAGGCAGCAGGGGGGAGUAUUGCACAGUGGGCGGAAGCCUGAUGCAGCAACGCCGCGUGCGGAAUGACGUCCUACGAGUUGUAAACCGCUGUCGCAGGUGACGAAGCGGGAGUGACGGUAAUGGGUAAAGAAGCAACGGCUAACUACGUG